This 49-nucleotide transfer RNA is filed under the name Charadrius vociferus (killdeer). It matches the Rfam family "tRNA", at positions 24 to 71 of the family's 71-position model. Rfam says of the family: Transfer RNA (tRNA) molecules are approximately 80 nucleotides in length. Lineage: Eukaryota; Metazoa; Chordata; Aves; Charadriiformes; Charadriidae. The record is from Rfam by way of RNAcentral.
CAUUUGACUGCAGAUCAAGAGGUCCCCAGUUCAACUCUGGGUGCCCCCU